GCUUAUUGUUUAUGUUUUCAUGAAACUUGAAACGGUCAGACUUCAUAAAAAUAGUUCGUCUGUUGUGCCCUGACUUUUAACUCUAGUGUGUUCCAGAUUUGCUGCAUCAUGGAAAUUCAAGCAGAAAAUAUAGGAAUCGAAUGUGAAGUCGUGAAUUGCACUGCUCGUACACGCACAAAAAUAGAAAUGUUAUCACAUUAUAGGACAGUUCAUCGAGGUGAUCGUACAUUUGAUGUAACUUGUUUGAGCAGUUGUGACAGAAGAUAUCUUACAGAAGAUGGACUAAGAAAACAUUUGCAGUCUCACCAUCCAACAUUCUUUGAACAAAAUAUUGAAGCAGUAGACCUAGCACCUGAUGAUUCAGAAGAAGAAGAUGUAAUGUUACGAGAAGAAAUACAGGGUCUUAAUUCACCCCUUGCUGCAGCAUCUAUCUUUUCAACAGAAGAACAAGUGCUUCAGAAGCCACAUAACUAAAAAUUUAAUCAAGUAGAUGUACAGACUGUUAUGGAAGCAACAACAGAUUUUGUGAACAAAGAAAUCAUUUCUGUUUUGUCAAAAACAAUCUCAUCACUGAGAGACAGCAAGUGUACGCACAUCAAGAGUAUCCAACAAAUGGUACAAAUAUAUAGAUCUCCCUUUGCUCCUGAUCUAUUUAAAGGUCUACGCACCCAGUACAAACUUUCAUCAACUUUUAUUUGUCAGCGAGCUUCUUGACCACAAAGUGUACCAAUUACAACAUCCCGUUGAUUUAUCUGUAUCAACAAAUUGCAUGUACCCUUUGUCUGACUUUAUCGUUACCAAAAGUGAAAUAAACGAUAAAUAAUUGUUCGCCAUAUUGUACUGUAUGGCAACGUCACAUACGUUUUGUCAA
Long non-coding RNA from Daphnia carinata, 871 nucleotides. RefSeq lists it as uncharacterized. The transcript has 3 exons. The record is from RefSeq and is a predicted model, not a curated record. NCBI's taxonomy places the organism in Eukaryota, Metazoa, Arthropoda, Branchiopoda, Diplostraca, Daphniidae.